RNAcentral lists this ribosomal RNA (384 nucleotides) under Pseudomonas sp. AE_01_1. RNAcentral's name for it is "bacterial SSU rRNA". It matches the Rfam family "Bacterial small subunit ribosomal RNA", at positions 20 to 406 of the family's 1533-position model. The record is from RNAcentral. Lineage: Bacteria; Pseudomonadati; Pseudomonadota; Gammaproteobacteria; Pseudomonadales; Pseudomonadaceae.
CUGCUCAGAUUGAACGCUGGCGGCAGGCCUAACACAUGCAAGUCGAGCGGAUGACGGGAGCUUGCUCCUUGAUUCAGCGGCGGACGGGUGAGUAAUGCCUAGGAAUCUGCCUGGUAGUGGGGGACAACGUUUCGAAAGGAACGCUAAUACCGCAUACGUCCUACGGGAGAAAGCAGGGGACCUUCGGGCCUUGCGCUAUCAGAUGAGCCUAGGUCGGAUUAGCUAGUUGGUGGGGUAAUGGCUCACCAAGGCGACGAUCCGUAACUGGUCUGAGAGGAUGAUCAGUCACACUGGAUAUGAGACACGGUCCAGACUCCUACGGGAGGCAGCAGUGGGGAAUAUUGGACAAUGGGCGAAAGCCUGAUCCAGCCAUGCCGCGUGUGU